RNAcentral lists this transfer RNA (56 nucleotides) under Brachyuropus grewingkii. RNAcentral describes it as "tRNA-Cys". Lineage: Eukaryota; Metazoa; Arthropoda; Malacostraca; Amphipoda; Acanthogammaridae. The record is from RNAcentral.
GGCUUGGAGGGUUUGACCAUUAAGUUGCAAACUUGAUAUAGCGCUAGCCCAAGCUA